AAGGAAUAUUGGUCAAUGGACGGAAGUCUGAACCAGCCAUGCCGCGUGGAGGAUGAAGGUCCUCUGGAUUGUAAACUUCUUUUAUCUGGGAAAAAACCACCUUUUUCUAAGGGUGUUGACGGUACCAGAGGAAUAAGCACCGGCUCACUACGUGCCAGCAGCCGCGGUAAGACGUAGGGUGCAAGCGUUGUCGGGAUUUAUUGGGCGUAAAGAGUUCGUAGGCGGUUGCCUAAGUCUGGUGUUAAAGACCGGAGCUCAACUCCGGCAUGGCAUUGGAAACUGGGUGGCUAGAGUGUGGUAGAGGUCACGGGAAUUCCUGGUGUAGCGGUGAAAUGCGUAGAUAUCAGGAGGAACACCGGUGGCGAAAGCGGGUGACUGGGCCAUAACUGACGCUGAGGAACGAAAGCCAGGGGAGCAAA
Molecule: ribosomal RNA, 419 nt
Filed under: uncultured bacterium
Lineage: Bacteria
Description: bacterial SSU rRNA
Rfam family: Bacterial small subunit ribosomal RNA
Source: RNAcentral